RNAcentral lists this ribosomal RNA (553 nucleotides) under uncultured fungus. RNAcentral's name for it is "eukaryotic LSU rRNA". The stretch from base 177 to 330 matches the Rfam family "5.8S ribosomal RNA". The record is from RNAcentral. Lineage: Eukaryota; Fungi.
CUUGGUCAUUUAGAGGAAGUAAAAGUCGUAACAAGGUUUCCGUAGGUGAACCUGCGGAAGGAUCAUUAGUGAACGCCCUCACGGGCUUAUAACUAUUCCAAACCUCUGUGAACCGUGCCCUUCGGGGCUAUUUUACAAACAUGGUGUGAUGAACGUCAUAUAUCAUAACAAAACAAAACUUUCAACAACGGAUCUCUUGGCUCUCGCAUCGAUGAAGAACGCAGCGAAAUGCGAUAAGUAAUGUGAAUUGCAGAAUUCAGUGAAUCAUCGAAUCUUUGAACGCACCUUGCGCCCUCUGGUAUUCCGGAGGGCAUGCCUGUUUGAGUGUCAUGUAGACUCAAUCCCUCGGGUUUCCGAGGAGAUUGGACUUGGGUGUUGCCGCUCUGCCGGCUCGCCUUAAAAGACUUAGCGGGAUAGCACCGUAGUCGGCGUAAUAAGUUUCGUCGGUGAAGGUUGUGAUGACUGCUUACAAUCGCCCUCGGGCAAUUUUUGACUCUGACCUCAAAUCAGGUAGGACUACCCGCUGAACUUAAGCAUAUCAAUAAGCGGAGGA